RNAcentral lists this ribosomal RNA (387 nucleotides) under uncultured bacterium. RNAcentral's name for it is "bacterial SSU rRNA". It matches the Rfam family "Bacterial small subunit ribosomal RNA", at positions 30 to 416 of the family's 1533-position model. The record is from RNAcentral.
AUUGAACGCUGGCGGCAUGCCUUACACAUGCAAGUCGAACGGCAGCACGGGAGCAAUCCUGGUGGCGAGUGGCGAACGGGUGAGUAAUAUAUCGGAACGUGCCCAGUCGUGGGGAUAACGUAGCGAAAGCUACGCUAAUACCGCAUACGAUCUAUGGAUGAAAGCGGGGGAUCGCAAGACCUCGCGCGAUUGGAGCGGCCGAUAUCAGAUUAGGUAGUUGGUGAGGUAAAGGCUCACCAAGCCGACGAUCUGUAGCUGGUCUGAGAGGACGACCAGCCACACUGGGACUGAGACACGGCCCAGACUCCCUACGGGAGGCAGCAGUGGGGAAUUUUUGGACAAUGGGCGCAAGCCUGACCCAGCAAUGCCGCGUGCAGGAUGAAGGCC